RNAcentral lists this unclassified non-coding RNA (338 nucleotides) under soil metagenome. RNAcentral describes it as "partial contains 5.8S ribosomal RNA, internal transcribed spacer 2, and large subunit ribosomal RNA". The stretch from base 1 to 120 matches the Rfam family "5.8S ribosomal RNA", at positions 35 to 154 of the family's 154-position model. The record is from RNAcentral.
GAUGAAGAACGUAGCGAAAUGCGAUAAGUAGUGUGAAUUGCAGAAUUCAGUGAAUCAUCGAAUCUUUGAACGCACAUUGCGCCCUUUGGUAUUCCAAAGGGCAUGCCUGUUCGAGCGUCAUUUGUACCCUCAAGCUUUGCUUGGUGUUGGGCGUCUUGUCUCCAGUUCGCUGGAGACUCGCCUUAAAGUAAUUGGCAGCCGGCCUACUGGUUUCGGAGCGCAGCACAAGUCGCGCUCUCUUCCAGCCAAGGUCAGCAUCCACAAAGCCUUUUUUCAACUUUUGACCUCGGAUCAGGUAGGGAUACCCGCUGAACUUAAGCAUAUCAAUAAGCGGGGGA